AGUUUGAUUCAUGGCUCAGGACGAACGCUGGCGGCGUGCUUAACACAUGCAAGUCGAACGAUGAAGCCUUUCGGGGUGGAUUAGUGGCGAACGGGUGAGUAACACGUGGGCAAUCUGCCCUUCACUCUGGGACAAGCCCUGGAAACGGGGUCUAAUACCGGAUAACACUCUGUCCCGCAUGGGACGGGGUUAAAAGCUCCGGCGGUGAAGGAUGAGCCCGCGGCCUAUCAGCUUGUUGGUGGGGUGAUGGCCUACCAAGGCGACGACGGGUAGCCGGCCUGAGAGGGCGACCGGCCACACUGGGACUGAGACACGGCCCAGACUCCUACGGGAGGCAGCAGUGGGGAAUAUUGCACAAUGGGCGAAAGCCUGAUGCAGCGACGCCGCGUGAGGGAUGACGGCCUUCGGGUUGUAAACCUCUUUCAGCAGGGAAGAAGCGAAAGUGACGGUACCUGCAGAAGAAGCGCCGGCUAACUACGUGCCAGCAGCCGCGGUAAUACGUAGGGCGCAAGCGUUGUCCGGAAUUAUUGGGCGUAAAGAGCUCGUAGGCGGCUUGUCACGUCGGAUGUGAAAGCCCGGGGCUUAACCCCGGGUCUGCAUUCGAUACGGGCUAGCUAGAGUGUGGUAGGGGAGAUCGGAAUUCCUGGUGUAGCGGUGAAAUGCGCAGAUAUCAGGAGGAACACCGGUGGCGAAGGCGGAUCUCUGGGCCAUUACUGACGCUGAGGAGCGAAAGCGUGGGGAGCGAACAGGAUUAGAUACCCUGGUAGUCCACGCCGUAAACGUUGGGAACUAGGUGUUGGCGACAUUCCACGUCGUCGGUGCCGCAGCUAACGCAUUAAGUCCCCGC
RNAcentral lists this ribosomal RNA (847 nucleotides) under bacterium. Its description in RNAcentral is "bacterial SSU rRNA". It matches the Rfam family "Bacterial small subunit ribosomal RNA", at positions 10 to 872 of the family's 1533-position model. The record is from RNAcentral.